This 363-nucleotide ribosomal RNA is filed under the name Malassezia sp. Its description in RNAcentral is "partial large subunit ribosomal RNA". The stretch from base 1 to 323 matches the Rfam family "Eukaryotic large subunit ribosomal RNA", at positions 40 to 358 of the family's 3401-position model. The record is from RNAcentral. Lineage: Eukaryota; Fungi; Basidiomycota; Malasseziomycetes; Malasseziales; Malasseziaceae.
AUAUCAAUAAGCGGAGGAAAAGAAACUAACAAGGAUUCCCCUAGUAACGGCGAGCGAAGCGGGAAGAGCUCAAAUUUGAAAGCUGGCGUCUUCGGCGUCCGCGUUGUAAUCUCGAGACGUGUUUUCCGUGCGGCUCUAUGGACAAGUCCCUUGGAACAGGGCAUCGUAGAGGGUGAAAAUCCCGUACUUGCCAUGGAAGUACCGUGCUUUGUGAUACACGCUCCAAGAGUCGAGUAGUUUGGGAUUGCUGCUCAAAGUGGGUGGUAGACUCCAUCUAAAGCUAAAUAUCGGGGAGAGACCGAUAGCGAACAAGUACCGUGAGGAGCGAACAUGUACCGUGAGGAGCGAACAAGUACCGUGAGG